RNAcentral lists this ribosomal RNA (253 nucleotides) under uncultured bacterium. Its description in RNAcentral is "partial 16S ribosomal RNA". It matches the Rfam family "Bacterial small subunit ribosomal RNA", at positions 524 to 776 of the family's 1533-position model. The record is from RNAcentral.
UACGGAGGGUGCAAGCGUUAUCCGGAUUCACUGGGUUUAAAGGGUGCGUAGGCGGGCAGGUAAGUCAGUGGUGAAAUCUUUGGGCUUAACCCGAAAACUGCCAUUGAUACUAUCUGUCUUGAAUAUUGUGGAGGUUUGCGGAAUAUGUCAUGUAGCGGUGAAAUGCUUAGAUAUGACAUAGAACACCUAUUGCGAAGGCAGCUCACUAAACUGUAACUGACGCUGAGGCACGAAAGCGUGGGGAGCAAACAGG